UACGGGGGGGGGCAAGCGUUGUUCGGAAUUACUGGGCGUAAAGGGCUCGUAGGUGGCCAACUAAGUCAGACGUGAAAUCCCUCGGCUUAACCGGGGAACUGCGUCUGAUACUGGAUGGCUUGAGUUUGGGGAGAGGGACGCGGAAUUCCAGGUGUAGCGGUGAAAUGCGUAGAUAUCUGGAGGAACACCGGUGGCGAAGGCGACUUCCUGGCCUGUUCUUGACGCUGAGGCGCGAAAGCUAGGGGGAGCAAAACGGG
Molecule: ribosomal RNA, 257 nt
Filed under: uncultured bacterium
Lineage: Bacteria
Description: partial 16S ribosomal RNA
Rfam family: Bacterial small subunit ribosomal RNA
Source: RNAcentral